ACACAUGCAAGUCGAGGGGCAUCAGUUUGGUUUGCUUGCAAACCAAAGCUGGCGACCGGCGCACGGGUGAGUAACACGUAUCCAACCUACCUCAUACUCGGGGAUAGCCUUUCGAAAGAAAGAUUAAUAUCCGAUGGCAUAUAUUUCCCGCAUGGGUUUUAUAUUAAAGAAAUUCGGUAUGAGAUGGGGAUGCGUUCCAUUAGUUUGUUGGGGGGGUAACGGCCCACCAAGACUACGAUGGAUAGGGGUUCUGAGAGGAAGGUCCCCCACAUUGGAACUGAGACACGGUCCAAACUCCUACGGGAGGCAGCAGUGAGGAAUAUUGGUCAAUGGACGCGAGUCUGAACCAGCCAAGUAGCGUGAAGGAUGACUGCCCUAUGGGUUGUAAACUUCUUUUAUAUGGGAAUAAAGUUGUCCACGUGUGGAUUUUUGUAUGUACCAUAUGAAUAAGGAUCGGCUAACUCCGUGCCAGCAGCCGCGGUAAUACGGAGGAUCCGAGCGUUAUCCGGAUUUAUUGGGUUUAAAGGGAGCGUAGGCGGAUUGUUAAGUCAGUUGUGAAAGUUUGCGGCUCAACCGUAAAAUUGCAGUUGAUACUGGCAGUCUUGAGUGCAGUAGAGGUGGGCGGAAUUCGUGGUGUAGCGGUGAAAUGCUUAGAUAUCACGAAGAACUCCGAUUGCGAAGGCAGCUCACUGGAGUGUAACUGACGCUGAUGCUCGAAAGUGUGGGUAUCAAACAGGAUUAGAUACCCUGGUAGUCCACACAGUAAACGAUGAAUACUCGCUGUUUGCGAUAUACAGUAAGCGGCCA
RNAcentral lists this ribosomal RNA (807 nucleotides) under uncultured bacterium. Its description in RNAcentral is "bacterial SSU rRNA". It matches the Rfam family "Bacterial small subunit ribosomal RNA", at positions 51 to 849 of the family's 1533-position model. The record is from RNAcentral.